RNAcentral lists this ribosomal RNA (440 nucleotides) under uncultured bacterium. RNAcentral's name for it is "partial 16S ribosomal RNA". It matches the Rfam family "Bacterial small subunit ribosomal RNA", at positions 339 to 795 of the family's 1533-position model. The record is from RNAcentral.
CUACGGGGGGCAGCAGUGAGGAAUAUUGCACAAUGGGGGAAACCCUGAUGCAGCAACGCCGCGUGGAGGAUGACGCAUUUCGGUGUGUAAACUCCUUUUAUCAGAGAAGAAAAUGACGGUAUCUGAUGAAUAAGCUCCGGCUAACUCCGUGCCAGCAGGCCGCGGUAAUACGGAGGGAGCAAGCGUUAUUCGGAAUCACUGGGCGUAAAGGACGCGUAGGCAGGUUUUUAAGUCAGGUGUGAAAUCCUAUGGCUCAACCAUAGAACUGCACUUGAAACUGGGGACCUAGAGUAUGGAAGGGGCAGGUGGAAUUAGUGGUGUAGGGGUAAAAUCCGUAGAUAUCACUAGGAAUACCGAAAGCGGAGGCGACCUGCUGGGACAUUACUGACGCUGAGGCGUGAAAGCGUGGGGAGCAAACAGGAUUAGAUACCCUGGUAGUC